RNAcentral lists this long non-coding RNA (189 nucleotides) under Fukomys damarensis (Damara mole-rat). RNAcentral's name for it is "lncRNA (ENSFDAG00000029226.1)". Lineage: Eukaryota; Metazoa; Chordata; Mammalia; Rodentia; Bathyergidae. The record is from RNAcentral.
GACCACAGGACAGGGGCUACCAGUCUACAGCAAUCACGAAAUCUCUCUCCCCUUGCUAAGAAGACAUGUGCAGUCCAUUGGUGAAAAGAUUUCUCCCUCUAAACAAGGCAACAAAGAGAAGAUGUUAUCCCAACUCUGUAAUGACCAGAGCUGAAGCUCCAUUCUUUCUGUGAGAAGAAUCCACACCGA